This 497-nucleotide ribosomal RNA is filed under the name uncultured bacterium. RNAcentral's name for it is "partial 16S ribosomal RNA". It matches the Rfam family "Bacterial small subunit ribosomal RNA", at positions 28 to 507 of the family's 1533-position model. The record is from RNAcentral.
GAUGAACGCUGGCGGCGUGCCUAACACAUGCAAGUCGAACGAACACACGAUGAGCUCUUUCCCCUAACGUUAGCGGCGGACGGGCGAGUAACACGUGGAUAACCUUCUUAUUUUUCUGGGAUAAUAUCGGGAGACCACAUCCACUACUAGAUAAUACAUCCAACCGCAUGAUUCAAUGGUGAUUGACGCCUUUCCUGUCUCUUAUAGAUGGUUCCGCGUCGCAUUAGCUAGUUGGUAAGGUAACGGCUUACCAAGGCAACGAUGCGUAGCUGACCUGAGAGGGUGAUCAGCCACACUGGAACUGAGACACGGUCCAGACUCCUACGGGAGGCAGCAGUGGGGAAUCUUCGACAAUGGGCGAAAGCCUGACGCAGCAACGCCGCGUGAGUGAUGAAGGUCUUCGGGUCGUAAAACUCUGUUAUUAGGAAAGAACAGAUGUAUAAGUAUCUAUGCACGUCUUGACGGUACCUAAUGAAAAAGCCCCGGCUAACUACGUG